GAUGAACGCUGACAGAAUGCUUAACACAUGCAAGUCCACUUGAAUUUGGGUUUUUAACUUAGGUUUGGGUGGCGGACGGGUGAGUAACGCGUAAAGAACUUGCCUCACAGCUAGGGACAACAUUUGGAAACGAAUGCUAAUACCUAAUAUUAUGAUAAUAGGGCAUCCUAUAAUUAUGAAAGCUAUAAGCGCUGUGAGAGAGCUUUGCGUCCCAUUAGCUAGUUGGAGAGGUAACGGCUCACCAAGGCGAUGAUGGGUAGCCGGCCUGAGAGGGUGAUCGGCCACAAGGGGACUGAGACACGGCCCUUACUCCUACGGGAGGCAGCAGUGGGAAAUAUUGGACAAUGGACCGAGAGUCUGAUCCAGCAAUUCUGUGUGCACGAUGAAGUUUUUCGGAAUGUAAAGUGCUUUCAGUUGGGAAGAAACAAAUGACGGUACCAACAGAAGAAGUGACGGCUAAAUACGUG
Molecule: ribosomal RNA, 467 nt
Filed under: uncultured bacterium
Lineage: Bacteria
Description: partial 16S ribosomal RNA
Rfam family: Bacterial small subunit ribosomal RNA
Source: RNAcentral